Molecule: ribosomal RNA, 440 nt
Filed under: uncultured bacterium
Lineage: Bacteria
Description: partial 16S ribosomal RNA
Rfam family: Bacterial small subunit ribosomal RNA
Source: RNAcentral
CCUACGGGAGACAGCAGUGGGGAAUCUUGCACAAUGGGGGAAACCCUGAUGCAGCGACGCCGCGUGAGUGAAGAAGUAAUUCGUUAUGUAAAGCCCUAUCAGCAGGGAAGAAAAUGACGGUACCUGACUAAGAAGCCCCGGCUAACUACGGGCCAGCAGCCGCGGUAUUACGUAGGGGGAAAGCGUUAUCCGGCUUUACUGGGUGUAAAGGGAGCGUAGUCGGGAGUGCAAGUCUGGAGUGAAAGGCGGGGGCUCAACCCCCGGACUGCUCUGGAAACUGUACGGCUGGAGUGCAGGAGAGGUAAGUGGAAUUCCUGGUGUAGCGGUGAAAUGCGUAGAUAUUAGGAGGAACACCAGUGGCGAAGGCGGCUUACUGGACUGUAACUGACGUUGAGGCUCGAAAGCGUGGGGAGCAAACAGGAUUAGAUACCCUUGUAGUC